AUAUUAAAGGGCCGCGGUAUUCUGACCGUGCAAAGGUAGCAUAAUCAUUAGUCUUUUAAUUGAAGGCUGGAAUGAAUGGUUUGACGAAAUAUUAACUGUCUCUUUAUAAUUMAUAAAAUUUAACUUCUGAGUUAAAAGGCUUAGAUAAAUAUAAAAGACGAGAAGACCCUAUAGAUCUUUAUACAUGGAUAUAUUGAUUUWGUUUAGAUGUMMUUUUAAUGAAUAUAUUAUUGUAUUUUGUUGGGGUGACAUGAAGAUAAAAUUAACUCUUCAUUAUUAAUACAUUGAUUUAUGUAUAAUUGAUCCGUUAUUAACGAUUAUAAGAUAAAGUUACCUUAGGGAUAACAGCGUAAUUUUUUUUGAGAGUUCUUAUCGACAAAAAAGAUUGCGACCUCGA
RNAcentral lists this ribosomal RNA (397 nucleotides) under Eupholidoptera mersinensis. RNAcentral's name for it is "partial 16S ribosomal RNA". It matches the Rfam family "Bacterial large subunit ribosomal RNA", at positions 1920 to 2529 of the family's 2925-position model. Lineage: Eukaryota; Metazoa; Arthropoda; Insecta; Orthoptera; Tettigoniidae. The record is from RNAcentral.